This 449-nucleotide ribosomal RNA is filed under the name uncultured bacterium. RNAcentral's name for it is "partial 16S ribosomal RNA". It matches the Rfam family "Bacterial small subunit ribosomal RNA", at positions 29 to 523 of the family's 1533-position model. The record is from RNAcentral.
AGCGAACGCUGUCGGCAGGCCUAACACAUGCAAGUCGAACGAACUCUUCGGAGCUAGUGGCGGACGGGUGAGUAACACGUGGGAACGUGCCUUUAGGUUCGGAAUAACUCAGGGAAACUUGUGCUAAUACCGAAUGUGCCCUUCGGGGGAAAGAUUUAUCGCCUUUAGAGCGGCCCGCGUCUGAUUAGCUAGUUGGUGAGGUAAAGGCUCACCAAGGCGACGAUCAGUAGCUGGUCUGAGAGGAUGAUCAGCCACAUUGGGACUGAGACACGGCCCAAACUCCUACGGGAGGCAGCAGUGGGGAAUCUUGCGCAAUGGGCGAAAGCCUGACGCAGCCAUGCCGCGUGAAUGAUGAAGGUCUUAGGAUUGUAAAAUUCUUUCACCGGGGACGAUAAUGACGGUACCCGGAGAAGAAGCCCCGGCUAACUUCGUGCCAGCCGCCGCGGUAA